Molecule: long non-coding RNA, 3504 nt
Filed under: Homo sapiens (human)
Lineage: Eukaryota; Metazoa; Chordata; Mammalia; Primates; Hominidae
Description: HSALNT0025465
Source: RNAcentral
CCCGCCCGCACCUUCCUGAGCGCUGGGCUCUGGGCUGGGAGGCGGCGCCGCGGAGGCCGGGCGCGGGCCGAGGAGGGCGGGGCGGGGCCGGCCGCGGGAGCCGGGGUGCACUCACCGCCGCGGCGCGUCCCUGUUGGCGGGCGGCGCAGGCCUGGCCGCCGCGGGAGCCCGCCGGACGCCGAGGAAAGGAAAGGCCGGAGCCCUCCGGCUCCCUCCCCUGGGACACUUCCUGCUCCGCUCUAGGACUGGGGAGGUCUCCGCAUCUCAGUGGUUCGCUCCCCCGCCCCCCGGCCGAGGUGUGCGCUGGGGGUGACAUCCGACACCCCCGGCCCGCCCCGCUCCGCGCGCGCCUGGGCCUGGCCGCCGGGCCGGGGGCUUUGUGGGUCAGCCACGUCGCCGCGCCCGGGCUUCCCCGCGGGCCCGCCGGUCCGGAAGGUCGGCCCGGGGCUCUUUUCUCCGCUGUUCUCCUUCUCUGGCGCCCCCAGGACACGCGGCCAGUGGACGCCCGGAACGGCCGACCGGGAGUCGCGGCUGGGGAUGGAAGCUGGAAUUGGGGGUGCGGGAUGGAGCGGAGAGAGGAGGCCCCGCGCGCCGUCGGCCGCCUCAUUUCAGACUCCCCUGCGACCCCCCCCCCGCCGCCAGCCGAAGCCCGGGCCGCCCAGCCCCUCCUGCCGCUGCGGGACGCCGAAGGCUCCAGAGCUUGAGAGAAAGUGCGAACCCGGUCCCUGAGCAGGUCUGAUUCCCAUGGCCCCUUCGCCAUCUGCUCUGCACCGAAAUUGGAUUCUCCUACGCAGAGGAGAAGGUGGAGAAGAUUCUCCGUCUUCCGGAGGGUAGCUACUGCCGGUAGCUCCGAUUUCCUUCGGAUCCCCUUUCAAGGGCAAGCAGAAGGAAAUCAGUUUCUCCAAAGAAAGUGGCCCGGCUGAGUAAGUGGGAACAAGGUGGUUGGACUGAGGCACGGGAUCCUUUAGCUCCGUUGCUCUUCUAAUCCCGUGGCCCUGGGCACCGCCACUUCCUCCUCUGAACUGCUGGAAUAAUCACUUCUGACUAGCAGAGUUACUGGGAGCCGCUGUUUGUCAGUGUUCACAUUCUGACUUUAGCAGGAGAUGGAGCGAGCGAAGGAGUGAAGCCCUUGUUUGUGAACAGUGAUUGUUUCCCGGAUGACAGCCAGAUGCCGGGCAGGGCCACGCAGAUCUUAGCUGGAGCCUACAGGUACAAGUGAGAGCCACCCCCUUUGACGUAACUGGACUGGCAUUUACAGAACUCAUGUACAGCCCACUCUCAGGAACACCAGCCAGGAACCGUGACAUGGAGGAGAGGAAUUGGGAGGAACCGAGGGGUCAUCAAAGGCUGGUAGGGCUUAGGUGCUCUAGCAAACAUCCUAGUCUGUGGGGUUCCAGAGCUCUGGUGCUACAGCUCCCAACCCUUUGAUUGGCCCAGGAACUGGCUGUUGAGUGGGCAUCCGUGUUCAUAGCUCUGCCCCUUGCAACCCUAAAGCAGAUAAAAUGCAGGAGGCAGAAAUUGCUGGCAGACAGCAUCCAAUUAAUCCCCACUACCCAAUUCAGUUUCUUCCCCUGACCUGACACGUCCCUGCCCAGCUGUGCCUCCCACUGUUCACCUUUUGAGGCACAAAACGGGCUGUUUAUGCUGCUGCUGCAUUUAGCUCAAAACAGGGCUUCAGAGUCAAGGUUCUGGACUCAGGCACCCGGAUUAAAUCCUGCCCUAUGAAUUCCUAGCCAGGUGACCUCAGGCCUACAUAACCUUUCUGUACCUCAACUUCCUCAUCCAGAAAACAGGGAUGAUGCUGUCUACCUCAUUGGAUGGUUGUGCAGGAUCAAAGAUUCAGUCAUUCAGCAAACCUAUACCGAGUACCUACUGUACACUCAUGAGUGCUAGGCAGCCAGCCUUCCAGGUGCUCAGGUACAUCUGUGAACACAACUGGCUAUUGGAGGAAGCAAAAUCAGUAACAUGACCUGCUCUCUUUGAUCUGUGCUACAGAAAAAAAGGAAAGUGGAGAGGCAUCAGGAAGUCAGGAGUGCUGGGGAGGGGCUGGUAACAGUCAUGGUAUUAAAGAGGAGGGCAGGCAGGCCUUACUGUGAAGGUGGUAUUUGAGAUGAAGUAGUUGGUCAGAGUCCCUGUUUGACACAUGGAGACCACCUUGACAGCAAAGGCCCUAAGGGGGAGCGGUGCGAAGCAAGGUGGGCUGGUGAGUGAGAGGAGAGGGAUGGCAUAGAGCUGGGUGGGGGCACAGGAGCCCGUGGGGAAGGUGUUCGCCUCUGAAUGAAGUGGGGUUGUAUCAGAUACCACGGGUGAAGCAUCGGGAAGAGGAUCCUGCCUGUAAACCCUGCUCAAGGACUGCACCAUCAUCAUGCCCAGUGUGUGCGUGUAUUAGGUCUUCUGACGCAAGCUCUGCCUCUUGAGUUCAUGGUUCACUACUUCCAGCCUGGCAACUUGGUGCUGACUAAGAUUUGGAAAGAAGACAAGCUCCACCCAAGCUGGGAAGGUCCCUGUCAAGUGCCUCUGCCCCUGAGACAGCCCUGCGAACAGCUGAAUGGGGGUGGACUCACUACACUGGAAUCAAGAGGCCGGUAAAAGAGACCUGGAAAGGGAAGGAGAAAGAACAGUGGGAAGUGCAUGGGUCACCUGACGAACACUUAAAGUUAACUCUGAGAAAAAUUUAGAAAGAAAGCGUGGGCUGGCUGCAUUUCUGAAAGGUAAUAAGGCUGGGAUGGGUUAGUAUACAAAGAGCAGAAGGUCAAAAUGGAAACUGGCAGGGGACUCCCCACUGCUCAAUCAGGUUGGUGAUUAAUAUGAUUAAGACGGUAGCACCCCAAACUAUAAGAUUUGAUGCCUGUCAGGUUUUACCUUGUGGGAAUUUAGAAAAUCAGAGACAGCUCUCGCAGGCAGAUAAAUCUCUUUGCCUUGAACCAGAUGCAGGUUGCAGUAGGGCAUCACCCUUCCCCAGCUGGGAGGAUGUAUGGUGCGCUACCCAAUUUCAGGGUUGGACAGUAAACAUGGUGUGGGUAACUCCAAACUGGAAACCCUUGAAGCAUAAACUACCUCUGUCCAAGCGCUCCCCACCAAAUAACUGCCAGAAUUUAGAAUGCCAUCCUAUACUCAUCACCCUUGACAAUUCAGCCUUUCUAGACCAAGAACCAAAAGUAGCAUCUCAGGUAUAUGGGUUAGGAGAAGACAUCACAAGGAAAGACCCCCAGGUCGAUUUGAUCUCAGGCUAAUCAAGAACUCAACCUCCCAUUUGCCUGGAACUACUCCAACCCCAGACCCUAAUAAACACUUUAGUCUACCAAAUAUUAACCCUAAAAUGGUAACAAUAAUUGAGGUAAAGGAUUUAAGGCAAACCUUAGAAAUUGAGACAGGGUAUAGGGAUGUGAAUGCCUGGGUCAAAUGGGUCAUAUUUUCGGUACAAGCCCUCAGCAAAAGUAACUGCUACGCGUGUGCUGCAGGACCACCUCAGGCGCAGGUGGUUCCGUUUCCCCUGGGAUGGAA